Molecule: ribosomal RNA, 651 nt
Filed under: uncultured euryarchaeote
Lineage: Archaea; Methanobacteriati; Methanobacteriota
Description: bacterial SSU rRNA
Rfam family: Archaeal small subunit ribosomal RNA
Source: RNAcentral
GCCUAAAGCGGCCGUAGCCGGUCUUCUAAAUCCUUGGGUAAAUCGGGCAGCUUAACUGUCCGAAUUCCGGGGAGACUGGGAGACUUGGGACCGGGAGAGGUCAGAGGUACUUCUGGGGUAGGGGUAAAAUCCUGUAAUCCUGGAAGGACCACCGGUGGCGAAGGCGUCUGACUAGAACGGAUCCGACGGUGAGGGACGAAGCCCUGGGGCGCAAACGGGAUUAGAUACCCCGGUAGUCCAGGGUGUAAACGCUGCGGGCUUGGUGUUGGGGGUCCUUAGUGGGCGCCCAGUGCCGGAGAGAAGUUGUUAAGCCUGCUGCUUGGGGAGUAUGUCCGCAAGGAUGAAACUUAAAGGAAUUGGCGGGGGAGCACCGCAACGGGAGGAGCGUGCGGUUCAAUUGGAUUCAACGCCGAAAAACUCACCAGGAGCGACGGAUAUAUGAAGGUCAAGCUGAUGACUUUACCUGAUUUUCCGAGAGGUGGUGCAUGGCCGUCGUCAGUUCGUACCGUAAGGCGUUCUCUUAAGUGAGAUAACGAACGAGACCCUCACCAUUAAUUGCUAGUCCCUUCUCCGGAGGGGACGCACAUUAAUGGNACCGCUGGCGCUAAGUCAGAGGAAGGAGAGGUCAACGGUAGGUCCGCAUGCCCCGAA